Molecule: ribosomal RNA, 497 nt
Filed under: uncultured bacterium
Lineage: Bacteria
Description: partial 16S ribosomal RNA
Rfam family: Bacterial small subunit ribosomal RNA
Source: RNAcentral
GAUGAACGCUGGCGGCGUGCCUAAUACAUGCAAGUCGAGCGAACAGACGAGGAGCUUGCUCCUCUGACGUUAGCCGCGGACGGGUGAGUAACACGUGGAUAACCUACCUAUAAGACUGGGAUAACCUCGGGAAACCGGAGCUAAUACCGGAUAAUAUAUUGAACCGCAUGGUUCAAUAGUGAAAGACGGUUUUGCUGUCACUUACAGAUGUAUCCGCGCCGCAUUAGCUAGUUGGUAAGGUAACGGCUUACCAAGGCAACGAUGCGUAGCCGACCUGAGAGGGUGAUCGGCCACACUGGAACUGAGACACGGUCCAGACUCCUACGGGAGGCAGCAGUAGGGAAUCUUCCGCAAAGGGCGAAAGCCUGACGGAGCAACGCCGCGUGAGUGAUGAAGGUCUUCGGAUCGUAAAACUCUGUUAUUAGGGAAGAACAAAUGUGUAAGUAACUAUGCACGUCUUGACGGUACCUAAUCAGAAAGCCACGGCUAACUACGUG